GACGAACGCUGGCGGCGUGCUUAACACAUGCAAGUCGAACGGAAAGGCCCUGCUUUUGUGGGGUGCUCGAGUGGCGAACGGGUGAGUAACACGUGAGUAACCUGCCCUUGACUUUGGGAUAACUUCAGGAAACUGUGGCUAAUACCGGAUAGGAGCUCCUGCUGCAUGGUGGGGGUUGGAAAGUUUCGGCGGUUGGGGUUGGACUCGCGGCUUCUCUGCUUUAUGGUGGUGUAGUGGCUUACCAAGGCUUUGACGGGUAGCCGGCCUGAGAGGGUGACAGGCCACAUUGGGACUGAGAUACGGCCCAGACUCCUACGGGAGGCAGCAGUGGAGAAUAUUGCACAAUGGGCGGAAGCCUGAUGCAGCAACGCCGCGUGCGGGAUGACGGCCUUCGGGUUGUAAACCGCGUUCGCCUGUGACGAAGCGUGAGUGACGGUAAUGGGUAAAGAAGCACCGGCUAACUACGUG
This 468-nucleotide ribosomal RNA is filed under the name uncultured bacterium. Its description in RNAcentral is "partial 16S ribosomal RNA". It matches the Rfam family "Bacterial small subunit ribosomal RNA", at positions 28 to 507 of the family's 1533-position model. The record is from RNAcentral.